RNAcentral lists this long non-coding RNA (1581 nucleotides) under Homo sapiens (human). Its description in RNAcentral is "non-protein coding lnc-FGGY-10:1". Lineage: Eukaryota; Metazoa; Chordata; Mammalia; Primates; Hominidae. The record is from RNAcentral.
UGAGGAUUAAUUGAAACAUUGCAAGUACAAUACUCAGCAUAAGGCUCAGAACACAGAACACAUUCCAUAAAUGGUGCUAUGAUUGGUCCUGGGAUAUUGGCUCCUGGUCUGGUUGGCAGUGAAGGCAAGGAAAACAUGUGUGUGGGAUAUGCUGACAGUUUAGGGGAUGUCCUAGAGUUUCCCAUAGUUGUCCCAGUCAGUUUGAUCUUGGUAUUAUGCACUAGGCUGUGUACUGUUUGGCCCCAGUUAAGAUUCCAGGUCUGAGAACAUUUUUGAAGCCCCUAGAUGGAUGGGCUGAGGUGAUGAAAGAGGUAACUUUGAUAUGAACUAUGCCUCAAUAAGUGGGUUCUGCAAACUGGGGAAGGCAGGGCUGAAGCUGACAGCUUUAUAGUUCAAAGAGUGUUUUCCCAAAUAUGAUUUAAUUUAAUUUAACCCUUAUAGCUUGCAUCACCAAAAUUGUCCCCAAAUGAAGAAACAAACUAUGUACCGUCCACUAUGACAGGAGUCAGAAAUACAGUGAUGAGUGCUGGCCCUGUCCCAUGUAAUUUACAGCCUUUUUGGAGAGAGAGGCAGUUUCAGUGACCUCACAAAUACAUGCAGGAGUGUAACUGUGAUGAGUACUGCAAAGGGAAGAGGGCCCUUGUUGCUAAAGGACUUAUAAGAGGAGUUGGCCAUGUCAGAAGGAUCAGGGAAGGCCUUACUGAGGCAUGAGGCUUCCUGGUGUGAAUAGCAGUUAACAGGUGGAGGGAGACCAGGUUCCAGGUGGAGGAAAUAACAUGUGUGUGGGCUCCUUUCCAGAAGAGCUGGAGAGAAGAGAGAUGAAAGGAAGGUGAUGCAGGAUGAAGCUGGAGGAGUAAGAAGGGGUUUGAUGAUAUAGCAGGCCCAGUCAAAGAAUCUUGUCUUUAUCCUAAGAGUCAAGAGAAGUUGCUGAGAAUUUUUAAGCAGGAAAGGGUGAUGAUCAUAUUUAUAUUUUGGAAAGAUCCUCCAACCUGCUCUCUGUGUUAAAACAGUUGAGUUCAUAUAUCUUCUGGCUGCAAUGACAUUUUGUGUUGGUCCUUCCUCUUGAGUGUUGACCAUUUCCCUGUCUUAAUCCCUAACCCAAGGCCUGGUGCUCUUAUAACCUGCUGUGCUCUUCCAUGUUCUCCCUACUAAGAUGAGAGACUCAUCAAUUUCCCUGACAGGUCCCUGAGAUGCCGUCACCAAAGUCUGGUUUCUUAAAUGAUGACCUGGUUAAUACAAACAAGAAUGAAAAAAGACCCCCACAACUAACAUAUAUCGGGCACUUACAAAGAUCAGGUCCUGAGCAGUGCUUUUAACUUUUGUACAGUACUCAUCACAAACCCAUGAAUUAAAUAUUAUUUUGGUAUGAACUGCUAGUUGCCUACCCAGUAUUCAUUCUCCCAUUCACAGAUGUUAAAGACUACAUUUCCCAGCUUUCCUUGCAACUAGGAGUAGCCAAAGAAUAUAAAUAGAAGUUGCUGGGUAAGCUUCAGACAAAGCUCUUUAAUGCUGAUAGGGUGCCUUUUAUUGCUGUGAAAUAUUGGCUGCAGUGUAGACAUGAUAGCUGGAGGGCACCUUGUA